CCUACGGGUUGCACCAGUGGGGAAUUUUCCGCAAUGGGCGAAAGCCUGACGGAGCAAUGCCGCGUGGAGGUAGAAGGCCCACGGGUCGUGAACUUCUUUUCCCGGAGAAGAAGCAAUGACGGUAUCUGGGGAAUAAGCAUCGGCUAACUCCGUGCCAGCAGCCGCGGUAAUACGGAGGGUGCGAGCGUUAAUCGGAAUUACUGGGCGUAAAGCGCAUGCAGGCGGCCUGUUAAGUCAGAUGUGAAAGCCCGGGGCUUAACCUCGGAAUUGCAUUUGAAACUGGCAGGCUAGAGUCUUGUAGAGGGGGGUAGAAUUUCAGGUGUAGCGGUGAAAUGCGUAGAGAUCUGGAGGAAUACCGGUGGCGAAGGCGGCCCCCUGGACGAAGACUGACGCUCAGGUGCGAAAGCGUGGGGAGCAAACAGGAUUAGAUACCCGAGUAGUC
This 442-nucleotide ribosomal RNA is filed under the name uncultured bacterium. RNAcentral describes it as "bacterial SSU rRNA". It matches the Rfam family "Bacterial small subunit ribosomal RNA", at positions 338 to 795 of the family's 1533-position model. The record is from RNAcentral.